Molecule: ribosomal RNA, 253 nt
Filed under: uncultured bacterium
Lineage: Bacteria
Description: partial 16S ribosomal RNA
Rfam family: Bacterial small subunit ribosomal RNA
Source: RNAcentral
UACGUAGGGGGCUAGCGUUGUCCGGAAUCAUUGGGCGUAAAGCGCGUGUAGGCGGUCCGGUAAGUCCGCUGUGAAAGUCGGGGGCUCAACCCUCGAAUGCCGGUGGAUACUGUCGGGCUAGAGUGCGGAAGAGGCGAGUGGAAUUCCUGGUGUAGCGGUGAAAUGCGCAGAUAUCGUGAGGAACACCAGAGGCGAAGGCGGUUUCCUGGACAGUUACUGACGCUGAGGCACGAAAGCUAGGGGAGCAAACAGG